This 1291-nucleotide small nucleolar RNA is filed under the name Saccharomyces cerevisiae R008. RNAcentral describes it as "RUF5-2". The record is from RNAcentral. Lineage: Eukaryota; Fungi; Ascomycota; Saccharomycetes; Saccharomycetales; Saccharomycetaceae.
UAAAUACAGAUACAUACAUGAACAUAUGCACGUAUAGCGCCCAAAUGUCGGUAAUGGGAUCGGCUUACUAAUUAUAAAAUGCAUCAUAGAAAUCGUUGAAGUUUGCCGUAGUAAUACCCAGAUUAUCAGAUUCCAAAUCCUUGUCAAUAAUUAUACUCCUUUGGACAACUUCUCUUUCCAUUAAAAAAUCUGAAAUCUCCUUAAAUUUUAAAUAGAUUCUGUUCAGUUCACUAACGGGGAAUUUCAAGAGAACAUUUUUGUUCUUCGCCGACUGACUAUAAUCUGUAACAUUAUUGUUAUCAGAGUUUCUCGCAAAAUUUUGUUUUUUCUUGCUAAAUCUCAGCAUAUAUUUAAUCAGAUUCAAAACCUUGUUGAAACCUUUAAUAGAUUUGAAAUUUCCGUUGCUAUUCAUUUCAUCUCGUAAAAAGGAUACGAUAAUUUCUAUUUUUUUUUAAAAUUUCCAAAAUCUUGUCAUGAAUCAAUAGCAAUUGAACAUUAAUCUCCUCAUUUGAAAGAUUUUUGUAAAAUUCGUCAUAUAAUAUUACUUCACAACGUUGGAAAAUAGCAAAUGUGAUUGCUAUAAAAUUCUGUAAGAUUUCAAUAAAAUGAUUUGCGAAUAAAAAUUCUUUACCAUUAGAAUGAAAGCGAUUAUUGCCGCUUGAAAAUGACUUUAUCGACUUUAUGGGGAAGAUAAAAUUAAAUGUUAUUGAGUAAAAAAUGUGCAUAUUAGAAAUAAUUUUCAUCAGAUCCUUUGCACAUCUUUCAGAGUUCGAGGUCUUAUUGUUGUUAGAAGAAUGUUGAACUGCCAUGGACAAAGAGGAUUCGUUUUGAACAAAAAGGAAAAAAUUUGUAUAAACAAUGGUAUUGAUAAAAUUUAAAGUGUCUUUCCAUUCUUUUCUGACUUCGUUGUCAUGAAAAUAUAAGUCUACUGUAUUACUCACGCCCAUAGUCAAGGUUUCUAACAGACUUUCAAUUUUGGUUAAAUUUACUGGCAAGUAGAAAGGAACACCUUGCAGAAUAUUUAUCAAUUUUGCUUGCGUUUCCAGUAAUUUUAAAUCGUUAGCAAUUAAAGGAAUGUCGUUCGUAUCAAUAGAGGCAGGUAUCGGAGAUAGGUUUUCAGCAGCGGGUACCAUGAAUGAAGACUGACCUAGAAGCGAAUGUCUUGAGUAAUACAUUUUUUUCAAAAAAUGGAAUAACUUGAAAUCUUUUAUCUGGAAGCUUAACAGACAGCUCAAAUCUUCGUCUAAACUUGAUUUAUGAUCAUCAUGCAUGUACAGAGAUUCAUAAAAUU